CUGCUCUCUCUAUCAUUCCCUCUCCCACACGCCUCCUCAAGCGACCCCACCUCGCGCUCCCGAUGCUGCGCCGACACCUCCUCCCCUUCUCUCACGGCCUCCACAAGCAUCCGCAAAUCCUCCCUCUCCCAUAAUCUCCUGUUUUUGCCUCUCAAUCACGAAUCAGGAUCCAUGGAGGUUUCCGACAAGUGCUACUCGAUCUGCUAUACGGCAGCGGCCGGGACCGCCGGCCGUGGGUCUGCGUCUCGCUGCUCAUCCUCCGGGAGGCUACACGCGGAGGGAACUCGCUGUUGGCGAGGUUCCAUGGAGUGCCAAGCGGGUGCUUUUCGCCAGCGGGGACGAGCAUGACCUUCUAUUCCCCGGCUCUUCACCCCCAAGGGCACCGACCCCAGGAAGAUCCCUAGGUCGCCCUACAGCAUGAUGAUGGGGAUCGAAGCGUCGGUGCUCCAAUCCGGUGGAGGGGUGGCGGCGGAGGUGCAGGCCCAAAACACUACCCAGAAGGAGGCGCCCCGGAUGAGCAACACACUCGUGUUCCUCCCGCUCAUGGAGGACGCGCUCUCGGUCGCCGGCGGUUUCGUUCUGUCUAUGGCGAUGGGUUGCCUCUUCUUCUCCAUUCGUGUGGUCAGGUUUGUUCUUCUUCCAUCAUGUUCCUUCUUUUGUCUCGUCACAAGCACAUGCCACGGAGGCUAAACUCUUUUGGCAACCGAUUGAAAAAACAGCUGGAAGAGAGCUUCAUUAGAUCUGUCUACUCCUGUAUUUUCAGUUACCUGUGUGACUGGAAAAGUACACUAUAUGUUACUAUGCUAUAUUUCUUAAGUUAUGUAUAGAACCUCUACCUAUAUACUUGGAUCACCGGAUUGUUCAAUUCUUUUUAUGCAACAAAACUACAGAAUUAGUACUUAUCAUUGCAGUGUCGUGUUCUGUGUAUACCAAUAUCUCUACCACUAUAAUACACCAGUCUUGAAUUUGGAUUCACCACCCCACUUGUUUUUUAGUCCGCUUGGGUACUGAUCACCUGAACUAAUGAACUAAUAGCCAAGAUACAGUGCAGAGAGUAAACUUGCCGGGUGAUACAUGAGAGCAUUUAUAUAAUGGUUGGUUCUAUCAAGUUUUUUACCGAUUUAUACUGAAUUAAACAUGUUGAUAUGGCGAUAGGGUCUCCAGUGUACAUGAUUAUCGAUUAAAUUUGUAUAUAAACUUCUUCCAGUUUGUUCAAUUGUAAGCCUAGUGAUGUAACAAUGAACGCUAAUUGUAUUGUUCUGCUCUUGGUUAGUACAAGAAAUGCUUGAGUUGUCAAUCAGGAAGAACUUCUAUUCUUCAAGCAAGAACUCUAGACUGGGCUUUCAAAUAAGUUGGACUGUAGAUAAUGUCCAGAUUUGUGAUCAUUGAUGCUUGUGCUUUCUUCUUCAUGUUCUGGUGAGGAAGAAGGGAAAACGCUGGAGCCAAUAGAUGUUUAGUGGGACUAUGUUCUCAAUUCACAAAGCUAAAGGAAGCACAUGCCAUCUAUCUCUCAUAUUGGUUAUUUGGAUCCUGAGAAAUCACCAUGCCUAGCUUAAAUUUAUUGACAUUAGCUUGUUCUGAUAAAAAAAUCAAUGCAAGGAAGGAAACAGAAUAUGGGGAUUGCAACUAUAGAAUGGUGAUUAGAUAUUCUUGAUAGAGAGGCAUAGGUUUCUAAUGUCAGUCUUUGAUAGAGUUCACAUAUGGCUGCAGUUUUUGCGACUACGGAAUUGUGAUAGGAUAUUCUUGAGUAUUUAGUUCUUCAGUACUGUUAAUUGAACAUACACUGGAAGUCAAAUUUCCAGGUAAAUCUGAUCAAGACUACUAGAUGAUCCAAAUGGAGGAUUAUUUCACUUUCAGACCCACUUUGUAAUUGUACAUCAUUGUCUUACCACAGAAGUUUAGAUGGACAUAGUAUCCAGGAUACCAACUAUUUGGAACUCCUCUCUACAAAAAAAGGCUUAAGGGGAUUGGUAACUGGAGUUCAGACCAUAAAAUUAUUCCAAUUCCCAUGCCUACAGUAUUGUAUACACAGAUUUCAGAGAGGAAUAGAUGGAUAGAUGAGCAAUGGACCAUUAAAGUUGCUUUCAUUGGUUCUCUUAGGGACCAUUGCAAAAGGUGUUUUUGUUUGGAUAAAGGUCAUCGAGCUAAGGUAAGCUCUCCAUAGACUGGAACAUUAUCAUGUCCUCGUCGGCGAGGAAGCCAGGUGACCUUCUCAUCCAAUGUCUUUCCCUCCUUAUCCCUUUCUCCUAUCGCAGUUCCCUCUCAAUGCGUUAGUUUCUUUCGUCGUCGCUAGGUUCCCAUGGCACUCUGCCACGCUCGCUUCAGUAGCUCGUUGAUUAAGAGGUAUGAGUGGGUGGCCAGCUGCAAUGUCUAGAUGGAAGACCUCUCCUGUUCAGAUUUAUUUUGGGUUCUUGAUUCCUUUUUCCCAAUGGUUAUAUGUAAUUAGUACAACAUUAGGAAAAAAUUAUACCAUGUUUGUGGCUGGAUGCAUUGAGUUGUUGGAAUUGUUGUAUUAGAAGUGCACUCUUGAUUGCCUUACCAAUGGUCCAAAAGAAUUGCACAACCGGUGAAAUUGACCGUGGUUUUAAUGUACUUUUGUUACAAUAUAGUUUUUUUAGGAGCAAAGGACAGUUGGAGAGAUCUCCCACUGACUUGUAACUAUAAAAAGAAGGACGUCAGUGACAUUUACAAUAUACUAGAGUAUAUUUCAUUAUUUCCCAGUUUGGACAUACUUCUAUUGGUUUGCUUCUCAUAAAUAUUAUCAUGCAUGUAUCAGCUGGUGAUUGUGUGAUAGUGGCGUGCUCUCAUAAAUAUUAUGUGUUUCCAGGAAGAUAAAUCCUUUCCGAAUAGGGACUAGGUUGGUUACUUCUUCUGUAAUUAUAUGUUUUAGUGAUAGCUGCUUGAUUAAAUGGUUCCAUCUGUUUCUUAUUCUUGUCAUCUAACGUAGAUAAAUAGAUUAUAUGCUUUUGUGCUGAAUUACGUGGAAGGUCGAGAUGACCGCACAUACGAAUUUAUUUAUGUUUAUUAUCGCAUGGAUGCCUACUGACCCAAAAUAUUUUUGUUUAAAAUGUUUUCCUAUGAAGUUUCUAUACUAUAUAAGAAAGUUGGUCUCAACUAUUUGAGGUCAUAUUCUAUUUUAAAGAUUACUCAUAUAGUUUCAUAGCUGAUUCAGUUGCAUUCGUUGAGAACAGGUGUUUGUAUCAAUCUUGUUUUUCAGGUUACUUGUAUUACAUAUUGAUGGAUUUCUUGCAGGCUUGUACGCCAGAUUUUAUUUCAACUGAAAGUAUUCUUUUCUUUGACAAGAGGGUAUGUAUUCUGGACAAAUUCUGUAAUUAUAUGUUUCCAGUGAUAGCUGUUAGAUUAAAUGAUUGGUCCUAUCCAUGUGUAAUCAUGUAUUAUUUGGGAUGAGACUUGUAUUUUUAGUCAGUAUAAUUUUGUAAUGGAUUGAACAUAUUCCUGUAAUUUUGAACUGUGAAACACAUAGAAGUUAGUUAAUUUUGGUAGUAUUUGUGGCUUGUUGUGCUCACCCCAGAGGCAUCGCAGAAGCUUUCCCAUGUUUUGAACUGAUGUCAUCCUUGCUACGACAAUUCUUGAUCUUGGGCCACACCAGAUUCAUACGUUUUGUGAAUCGGUGGGUCAUAUAAUUGAAGUUGAAUCUGAUAAUACCAAGAGUCUAAGAGGGACGAAUACCUGAAGAGAUUGAUGAGCCUUCCUAAUCAGGUUCCCUUCUAGCAUGCAUUUUUACCUUCUUUAUCAUUUCUCUUAAGGAUAGUCUUUACAAGGUUAUCUUGUGAUUAGUUUGAUUUGAAAAUAAUGGGCUGAAAUAAUUCGACAAGCGGGCCAAAGCAUUGAUAUCCUGAAGAACCACAAUGUUAUCAGAUCUCUUCUUAACAUUUUGCAGGUAAUAAUCGAGCCUGUAUUUGAAUCUUGUGGCCUUAGGCAGUGUUGUUAGUUGUUUAUUGUUGUGAAGUUCUUUACUUCUAUACCUACUAAUAAAAGAAAUAGGUAUUCUUGGUC
Molecule: RNA transcript, 4017 nt
Organism: Triticum aestivum (bread wheat)
Lineage: Eukaryota; Viridiplantae; Streptophyta; Magnoliopsida; Poales; Poaceae
Exons: 4
Source: RefSeq, a predicted model, not a curated record